CAGCAGUGGGAAUAUUGCACAAUGGGGGAAACCCUGAUGCAGCCAUGCCGCGUGUGUGAAGUAAGGCCUUCGGGUUGUAAAGCACUUUCAGUAGGGAGGAAGGUAGUGUAGUUAACACCUGCAUUAUUUGACGUUACCUACAGAAGAAGCACCGGCUAACUCCGUGCCAGCAGCCGCGGUAAUACGGAGGGUGCGAGCGUUAAUCGGAAUUACUGGGCGUAAAGCGCAUGCAGGCGGCCUGUUAAGUCAGAUGUGAAAGCCCGGGGCUUAACCUCGGAAUUGCAUUUGAAACUGGCAGGCUAGAGUCUUGUAGAGGGGGUAGAAUUUCAGGUGUAGCGGUGAAAUGCGUAGAGAUCUGAAGGAAUACCAGUGGCGAAGGCGGCCCCCUGGACAAAGACUGACGCUCAGAUGCGAAAGCGUGGGGAGCAAACAGGAUUAGAUACCCUGGUGG
RNAcentral lists this ribosomal RNA (451 nucleotides) under uncultured bacterium. Its description in RNAcentral is "bacterial SSU rRNA". It matches the Rfam family "Bacterial small subunit ribosomal RNA", at positions 349 to 793 of the family's 1533-position model. The record is from RNAcentral.